RNAcentral lists this ribosomal RNA (253 nucleotides) under uncultured bacterium. RNAcentral's name for it is "partial 16S ribosomal RNA". It matches the Rfam family "Bacterial small subunit ribosomal RNA", at positions 524 to 776 of the family's 1533-position model. The record is from RNAcentral.
UACGUAGGCAGCGAGCGUUGUUCGGAAUUACUGGGCGUAAAGAGUGCGUAGGCGGUGCUCUAAGUCUGUCGUGAAAUCUCCCGGCUCAACUUGGAGGGUGCCGCGGAAACUGGAAUGCUAGAGUGUGGGAGAGGUAAGCGGAAUUCCUGGUGUAGCGGUGAAAUGCGUAGAUAUCAGGAGGAACACCUGCGGUGUAGACAGCUUUCUGGACCACUACUGACGCUGAGGCACGAAAGCGUGGGGAGCAAACAGG